CCUACGGGGGGCAGCAGUGAGGAAUAUUGGUCAAUGGACGAGAGUCUGAACCAGCCAAGUAGCGUGAAGGAUGACUGCCCUAUGGGUUGUAAACUUCUUUUAUAUGGGAAUAAAAUGUUCCACGUGUGGGAUUUUGUAUGUACCAUAUGAAUAAGGAUCGGCUAACUCCGUGCCAGCAGCCGCGGUAAUACGGAGGAUCCGAGCAUUAUCCGGAUUUAUUGGGUUUAAAGGGAGCGUAGGUGGAUUGUUAAGUCAGUUGUGAAAGUUUGCGGCUCAACCGUAAAAUUGCAGUUGAAACUGGCAGUCUUGAGUACAGUAGAGGUGGGCGGAAUUCGUGGUGUAGCGGUGAAAUGCUUAGAUAUCACGAAGAACUCCGAUUGCGAAGGCAGUUCACUGGACUGCAACUGACACUGAGGCUCGAAAGUGUGGGUAUCAAACAGGAUUAGAUACCCCAGUAGUC
Molecule: ribosomal RNA, 460 nt
Filed under: uncultured bacterium
Lineage: Bacteria
Description: partial 16S ribosomal RNA
Rfam family: Bacterial small subunit ribosomal RNA
Source: RNAcentral